GAUGUUAGCGGCGGACGGGUGAGUAACACGUGGGUAACCUGCCUGUAAGACUGGGAUAACUCCGGGAAACCGGGGCUAAUACCGGAUGCUUGUUUGAACCGCAUGGUUCAAACAUAAAAGGUGGCUUCGGCUACCACUUACAGAUGGACCCGCGGCGCAUUAGCUAGUUGGUGAGGUAAUGGCUCACCAAGGCAACGAUGCGUAGCCGACCUGAGAGGGUGAUCGGCCACACUGGGACUGAGACACGGCCCAGACUCCUACGGGAGGCAGCAGUAGGGAAUCUUCCGCAAUGGACGAAAGUCUGACGGAGCAACGCCGCGUGAGUGAUGAAGGUUUUCGGAUCGUAAAGCUCUGUUGUUAGGGAAGAACAAGUACCGUUCGAAUAGGGCGGUACCUUGACGGUACCUAACCAGAAAGCCACGGCUAACUACGUGCCAGCAGCCGCGGUAAUACGUAGGUGGCAAGCGUUGUCCGGAAUUAUUGGGCGUAAAGGGCUCGCAGGCGGUUUCUUAAGUCUGAU
This 520-nucleotide ribosomal RNA is filed under the name Bacillus subtilis. RNAcentral's name for it is "bacterial SSU rRNA". It matches the Rfam family "Bacterial small subunit ribosomal RNA", at positions 88 to 593 of the family's 1533-position model. The record is from RNAcentral. Lineage: Bacteria; Bacillati; Bacillota; Bacilli; Caryophanales; Bacillaceae.